This 440-nucleotide small RNA is filed under the name Pan troglodytes (chimpanzee). Its description in RNAcentral is "processed transcript". The record is from RNAcentral. Lineage: Eukaryota; Metazoa; Chordata; Mammalia; Primates; Hominidae.
AGGUUGGGUGCUGAUUGACCGGAGCGGCCGUCACUUUGGUACAAUCCUCAAUUACCUGCGGGAUGGGUCUGUGCCACUGCCGGAGAGUACGAGAGAACUGGGGGAGCUGCUGGGCGAAGCACGCUACUACCUGGUGCAGGGCCUGAUUGAGGACUGCCAGCUGGCGCUGCAGCAAAAAAGGGAGACGCUGUCCCCGCUGUGCCUCAUCCCCAUGGUGACAUCUCCCCGGGAGGAGCAGCAGCUCCUGGCCAGCACCUCCAAGCCCGUGGUGAAGCUCCUGCACAACCGCAGUAACAACAAGUACUCCUACACCAGGAACUGGCAGAGUCCUCCCCCUUGAGGUCAGUACUGUUGUGAGCUCCAUUUUACAGAUGAGGAGGUCGGGACACCAAGAGGUGAAGUAACUUGCCUAGUGUCACCCAGUUAAAAAAUGGGGACAC